RNAcentral lists this long non-coding RNA (1192 nucleotides) under Marmota monax (woodchuck). Lineage: Eukaryota; Metazoa; Chordata; Mammalia; Rodentia; Sciuridae. The record is from RNAcentral.
GACCCUUCGAAGGUUUCCAUUUGCAAGCUCUCAGCAGACAUUUUGGUCUUGAAGUCGGAACACUGUAUAGGCAACUCCUGUGUGAGUCAGCUUUGCCACACGGUGACCAAAAUACCUGACGUGACCUUAAAGGAGGAAAAGUUUUAUGUUGGCUCAUGGCUUCAGAGGGUCGGUCCAUGGCCAGCUGAUUCCCAAGCAGACACAUCACAGUGGAAAGACACUCAGCUCAAGGUGGCCAGGGAGCCAGACAGGAAAGGGUCAUGGGCAAGAUAACCCUUGUGUGGCCACAUCCACUCCGUGACUCACUUCUCCCAGCUAGGCCCUGCCUCCAGUCCUCCAUCCAGCUACCAAUGGACCUGUCCAGCGAUGAGGUCAGAGGCCUCAUGAACCAGUCACUGACUGAAAGCAGCUGUGCACCUUGCCCCACUGGGGACCAUGCUGUCAACACACACACUUUGGGGGACUUUCCUGAUCCAGUUCUGAUACCUUUGGCUACAGAAGGCUCUGCCAAUCAUCCUGGUGGCUCUUUAGCCACAUCUCUGGUCUGGAUUGAGGAAAACACAUCUUGAUACACAAUUUUACUUCUUACAUGGAGGGAAAGAAGGACGAGUGCCCCCGCUUCUCCCUCCCCGGAGAACACAUUUCUCACACCCCUUGCUCAGCCUGUGGGUGGGGUCCUGUAACCCUGAAGUGAAUUUUCUGACUACUCACUCAUAGUCUCAGGUGGAGGUAGUCGUGUCUGCUUUUCAAGCAAGAUUCCAUGAAACCAGAUCCAGUGUCAGCUCGGAAUGUGACCUCAGGUGGCUUCAGGUCCACUUCCUCUCGGGUGGCUUGUUGGGCUCCCCCUUACCUGGUCCUGCAGGCCUCCUCUGCUUCCUCUGACAACGAGGCAGAGAAGACCUCUUGAGCCUGGUGUGAAGGGAAUCUGUGUUAAUGACUCCAGAAGUUUCCUGUAAACUCUCAUGUACUAUGAAAACAAACCAGAUUGCCUCUGGGAUUCUACAAAGAAGGCCGAAUUCUUGCGGUUUAGGGCUUUAUUUUUCAAAAUGUAAUCACUGAUACGUAGUCCAUGUCUAAUCUGUUGAAGUCGUUAAACUCAAAGUGGAGAGGGAAUUUGGUUAAGAGAGCUGAGGGUGAGCCCGUCCUGGUAGAAGCCCCUCUUACUGGUGCUGUUUCCCCCACGGCAGGACAU